CUUUAGCCCAGAUAGGAGCGGCAUCCUCUUGUAUGGCGGAGGCCAAUACAAGAGAUAUAGCGGAUAGCUGGAAACCCU
Small RNA from Flavobacterium succinicans, 78 nucleotides. It matches the Rfam family "Flavo-1 RNA". NCBI's taxonomy places the organism in Bacteria, Pseudomonadati, Bacteroidota, Flavobacteriia, Flavobacteriales, Flavobacteriaceae. The record is from Rfam.